RNAcentral lists this ribosomal RNA (350 nucleotides) under uncultured Pseudomonas sp. Its description in RNAcentral is "bacterial SSU rRNA". It matches the Rfam family "Bacterial small subunit ribosomal RNA", at positions 1034 to 1382 of the family's 1533-position model. The record is from RNAcentral. Lineage: Bacteria; Pseudomonadati; Pseudomonadota; Gammaproteobacteria; Pseudomonadales; Pseudomonadaceae.
ACAGGUGCUGCAUGGCUGUCGUCAGCUCGUGUCGUGAGAUGUUGGGUUAAGGUCCGUAACGAGCGUAACCCUUGUCCUUAGUUACCAGCACGUUAUGGUGGGCACUCUAAGGAGACUGCCGGUGACAAACCGGAGGAAGAUGGGGAGUGACGUCAAGUCAUCAUGGCCCUUACGGCCUGGGCUACACACGUGCUACAAUGGUCGGUACAAAGGGUUGCCAAGCCGCGAGGUGGAGCUAAUCCCAUAAAACCGAUCGUAGUCCGGAUCGCAGUCUGCAACUCGACUGCGUGAAGUCGGAAUCGCUAGUAAUCGUGAAUCAGAAUGUCACGGUGAAUACGUCCCCGGGUCUU